Molecule: ribosomal RNA, 497 nt
Filed under: uncultured bacterium
Lineage: Bacteria
Description: partial 16S ribosomal RNA
Rfam family: Bacterial small subunit ribosomal RNA
Source: RNAcentral
GAUGAACGCUGGCGGCGUGCCUAAUACAUGCAAGUCGAGCGAACAGACGAGGAGCUUGCUCCUCUGACGUUAGCGGCGGACGGGUGAGUAACACGUGGAUAACCUACCUAUAAGACUGUGAUAACUUCGGGAAACCGGAGCUAAUACCGGAUAAUAUAUUGAACCGCAUGGUUCAAUAGUGAAAGACGGUUUUGCUGUCACUUAUAGAUGGAUCCGCGCCGCAUUAGCUAGUUGGUAAGGUAACGGCUUACCAAGGCAACGAUGCGUAGCCGACCUGAGAGGGUGAUCGGCCACACUGGAACUGAGACACGGUCCAGACUCCUACGGGAGGCAGCAGUAGGGAAUCUUCCGCAAUGGGCGAAAGCCUGACGGAGCAACGCCGCGUGAGUGAUGAAGGUCUUCGGAUCGUAAAACUCUGUUAUUAGGGAAGAACAAAUGUGUAAGUAACUAUGCACGUCUUGACGGUACCUAAUCAGAAAGCCACGGCUAACUACGUG